CAAUAGCGUAUAUUAAAGUUGUUGCGGUUAAAAAGCUCGUAGUUGGAUUUCUGCCGAGGACGACCGGUCCGCCCUCUGGGUGUGUAUCUGGUUUGGCCUGGGCAUCUUCUUGGAGAACGUAGCUGCACUUGACUGUGUGGUGCGGUGUCCAGGACUUUUACUUUGAGGAAAUUAGAGUGUUUCAAGCAGGCACACGCCUUGAAUACAUUAGCAUGGAAUAAUAAGAUAGGACCUCGGUUCUAUUUUGUUGGUUUCUAGAGCUGAGGUAAUGAUUAAUAGGGAUAGUUGGGGGCAUUCGUAUUUAACUGUCAGAGGCGAAAUUCUUGGAUUUGUUAAAGACGGACUACUGCGAAAGCAUUUGCCAAGGAUGUUUUCAUUGA
Molecule: ribosomal RNA, 380 nt
Filed under: uncultured eukaryote
Lineage: Eukaryota
Description: partial 18S ribosomal RNA
Rfam family: Eukaryotic small subunit ribosomal RNA
Source: RNAcentral